Non-coding RNA from Hirsutella rhossiliensis, 117 nucleotides. The record is from the annotation of a RefSeq genome assembly. Lineage: Eukaryota; Fungi; Ascomycota; Sordariomycetes; Hypocreales; Ophiocordycipitaceae.
GAGCGUUUGGCCGAGUGGUUAAGGCGUUGUGUUUAGGACAGCGACUCGACGCCGUCGAGAUCGAUAUCCGCAUCCGCAAUGGGUCCGCCCGCGCAGGUUCGAACCCUGCAGCGCUCA